CUCCCAAGUGCUGGGAUUAAAGGCGUGAGCCACCAACGCCCGGCGAUGUAUUUAUUCUUAUUUUAUGUGCAUGAGUGUUCUGCUUGCAUGUAUAUGUGUGCAACACAUGCAUAUCUAGUGCUCACAUGGUUUAGAAGAAGGCAUCAGAUCUCCUGGUACUAGAGUUACAGAUUGUUAUGAGCCUUGUGGGUGUCAGGAACUGGACCCAGGUCCCCAAAAAGGCGGCAAGUACUCUUAAUUGAUAGUCCAUGUCUUCUGCCUGCUCCUCUUUAAUGUGGUACUGGGGAUCAAAUCCCGGGGCUCCCUUAUUCUUAACUGUGUUUUUCUUCUUGCAUGGUUAUUUGGGUACAUUCAACCUCAGACAGACCCUCUCUGCCACUGGGGCUUGGCAACUUGCCCACAAUCCUUAAGGACCAUCCAACUAAACUGUUGGGGACUGUCUAGAUUCCCUUCUGUGAACCACCUUUUAUCUGAUACUCCUAUGAGGAGAAUAGCCACUCAUACUCUGAAAUACUGUGUGGCUUUUGCCCCCACCCUGCGCUACUCCUUACUUUUAUGGGCCCUCCUUAAGAGAAGAAAUUCAGCUAUCUAGUUCACUCCAGCAUCCAGCACCUGGUCCUUAAUAGGCCAGCAAAUAAUAGUUGUUCAAGCCAGUUGUUGGUUUCCCAUAGACAGCCAGGCACCCCCACACCCACACCUGGGACUCACUCUCUCUAGAAACUCCCAGCACCCAGGCCUCCUUAACACUCCUAUCAACUCCAGCAACAUCCCUGACUCAGUCUCCUGGACUGCUUCUGCUGCUGGGCUGCCUCCCUGAGACCCCUGGGAGCUUAUGGAGAGCCCAAAGCCUUAGUUCUGGCUCCCAGGGUUAGAGAGACUCUGGCAGGUAUCCUGGCCUAGAAUUGCUAGAAAUUCCCUGUGACUGAAUAGAGGGAGGGAAGACAAGACCAGUCCUUUCCAGGUGAAGGAACAGCGUGAAUAAAUGACUGUUGGCAUGAAAAUGCACAUCCUGUUUGAAGAGCAUGUUCUGAUCUGGUGCUGGUAAAGGACCAUAGGCAGAAGGGAGGGUGGAUAAAAGUACUGUCAGACAGAUCUAGAAGACAAUGACCAGGUGGGGAGGUCUGAGCUCCCUGCAGGAUCAGCAAGACUCAGAGUGUCUUAGACUUAAUCCUGCCCACCCCGCAGAUCCACCCAGCCCUCCCUUUCACCCGGCCCCCAGCCUGCCUGAUCCUGCAGCCAAAUGGACUUCUCUCUGGGCCUACGCUUGGGGCCCCGGAAUAAGAAGGCUACCUACCAGGAGCCCCCUCCAUCCUCUGGGCAUGGGCCUCCAGCUACCUCUCCCUGCUUGUUAUGUCCCCCUUCUGCUUGUGCCUGCCCCUGUCCCAGCUGUCCCCCUCCCUCCUGUCCCUGCAAUACUUGUCCCUCAUAUACGGGCACCUGCCCUUCCUAUCCGGGCCUCCCUGGCCCACCCUGCACCUGCUCUUGCCCUCCUUGCCCUGCUUGUCCUCCCUCAACUUGUCCCCGUACCUACUGCGUCCCCUGCUCAAGUCCACCUAUGACCUACUGCCAACACUCACCUUGCCCGGGUGUCCCUUGUUCGGCAGGCCAAAGUAUCUGUCGGGGCUCCCACCUGGGCUGUAGUAGCAGCUGCAUCUGUGGCCGUGGGACUGCUAGGAAGCCUCGGGGCUCCACAGGUUGCUGCAGUUUGUGCUUCAGGAGACAAAGGGCUUCUCAAGGGCUCUGUCUGAUAAUCUAGGCUGAGAGAAUGUGUCCCGUGACAUAUGCUUCAGCUGGCACUGGAGCUACGCCCUCAGAAGCUCUGCGUAGAUGGUAGUUGUAGAGAUGGAGUCGGGUGGACACCCCCUCCCCAAGUCCCGAAGGGGACAGGGGACCACUACCACUCCUUGGAUACUAGUUUCUCUGGGUGUGUUCCUGCUGGUUCCAGAACCUCCUCCUCUGCACCUUCUGGAAAGUGUCCUCAGAACCUUCCCUGCAGCCCUUAAGGUUCAGGCUGAUGUCAAAUUCUGUCUUAUUCUGCUUCAGUCUUCCUGGUGCUGGGGUUAUUGAUGUGUACCACUGUGCCUAGCUGAUUCACAGAGGAAUUUGCAACUUGGGAAUGAGAGGCCAUCACCUGAGCCCACUGAUGAAGCUUGGUGUCACUAAAUGUGAAGAGCCAGACACUGCCUGAUGUCAUGAUGCAGCCUGAAGCAUUCAGCAUUGCCCAGGGAAGAUUCUGGCCAAAGAAACACACAAAUUGCUCAACAUGAAUUAAAUCAAACCUCCAUUGCA
Mesocricetus auratus (golden hamster) is the source of this 2289-nucleotide long non-coding RNA. RefSeq lists it as uncharacterized. NCBI's taxonomy places the organism in Eukaryota, Metazoa, Chordata, Mammalia, Rodentia, Cricetidae. The record is from RefSeq and is a predicted model, not a curated record. The transcript is spliced from 2 exons.